GGAGAAUAUAAAUAUAGAGGUCAGGCUUUAUUCUUUAAAAUCCCUUAUAGUCUAGGUCCAAGAGCCUAUGAUGUUUGACAGUUUCUCUCCCAAUUCUUCUACCAUUAUUCCAGGAGGAAUAAAAUCUCGUUGAAGCUCUUCUUGGCCCACUACUGGAACCAGUUGUUUGGCAGACUAUAGGUGUCACUGCUGCACAUGUCAUGGAUCAUGGGAAAUCAUGCUUAUUGCCUUCUUUCAUGAAAAGGUCCUCUGACUCCCGUGGCACCAUCCAUUCCACGCCAUCCCCCGGACCAAAUGCUAGCAAUAAAUAAUGCUUCUUUCCCC
RNAcentral lists this long non-coding RNA (324 nucleotides) under Equus caballus (horse). RNAcentral's name for it is "lncRNA (ENSECAG00000053209.1)". The record is from RNAcentral. Lineage: Eukaryota; Metazoa; Chordata; Mammalia; Perissodactyla; Equidae.